Molecule: non-coding RNA, 125 nt
Organism: Triticum aestivum (bread wheat)
Lineage: Eukaryota; Viridiplantae; Streptophyta; Magnoliopsida; Poales; Poaceae
Source: Rfam
AUACUACUCCCUCCGUCCGGAAAUACUUGUCGGAGAAAUGGAUAAAAAUUGAUGUAUCUAGAACUAAAAUACGUCUAGAUACAUCCAUUUCACCGACAAGUACUUUCAGACAGAGGGAGUAGUUC